Erinaceus europaeus (western European hedgehog) is the source of this 2615-nucleotide long non-coding RNA. RefSeq lists it as uncharacterized. The transcript is spliced from 3 exons. Lineage: Eukaryota; Metazoa; Chordata; Mammalia; Eulipotyphla; Erinaceidae. The record is from RefSeq and is a predicted model, not a curated record.
GCCUCUGCCACCCACGGCCCCUUCCCCACACGCCUCCUCGCGCUUCCCUCUAUCCCCUUCCCCGCGCCGCUCGCUCCGCGCGCCCGCCCGACGCGCGCCCCGGUGAGCGCGGCCCUCAGCUCCCUUUCUCCGCGCUCGCCAGUCGCUGGCAAGUUGGCACCGCACCCGGUCCAAAUCUCCUCCCCGCCCGGCCCGCCCCCCCCUGCCCUCCCGGGCGCCAGAGCUUGGCUGUUGUGGGGCGCGGGAACCCCACACCUCGGGGUGGAGGGGGCGGGAAGCAAGAGGACACAUCGCGGGUGGCGGGUGGCGGAUGGGGGGGGGCUUCCUCGGCCGGGUGCCCCGUGUGCGCUCCCCGAGUCCCGGUCUACGGACACUCAGCCGCAGGGCACUCGGGGGAGCCCUUCAGUGGCGCCGAGCGGCGUUCCGGGGUCGGGGGGGGAGGUCGUGACCCCGCCCUACAGGGUUGGUGGAGCAGGGAGGUGCGCUUGGGGUGAGGGGCCCACGAGGAAGCCGAGGAAGUGGCCACUUGAAGGUUUGGAAGGGAACGACCACCGGGGUUCGGAGGCUCUGGGUCAUCCCGGGGACUCGCUGCGAGUUCAGCACCGAAGCCCCGAGGGGAAGCCCGCCAAGGGGAGGGGUCUGUGUGCGCGCGCAUGUGUGCAAGUGUCCGUGUGUGAGCGUGUGCAAAGGAGAUAAAGGGGUGGGUUUGCCCCGGGGCAGAUGUGAGGGUAAGGCAGAUUUCCUCUGUAGGGGAAGGCAGCCGGGUGCCUGAGACUCUCGAAAGCGGAGCUGGAUAGAUGGGGACGCGCACAGCGCUCCCCUGCGCGCUCGCUCUCUCUCUCUCUCUCUCCAAAUUGUCCCCUAUUCUUCCCUUCCCUUUCGUCCUGUUCUUUUCUUUUAAAGCACUGUAAUGAAAUUGUGAUGAAAUAGAAAUACUUUGUCAUGAAACUUACCCAUAAACAUCUAUCUCAGAAGAGAGCAAACUGGAUUUUUGAGAUGGUGAUAUUUAGAUUGAUUCCUCUCAAUUCAAAAAUUGUGAAAACUGUUUUAUUUUUAUCAAGGUACUCUUGGGAAAUCUCUUGAUCAGAUUCACAUCUGUUCCUGUCAAAGUGGGUGCUAAGAUACCGGUCACCCAGCAACCAUGUCCAAGAGGGAAUUGGGCCGAUAAUAACUUCAAAAAGGAAUGACAGAUGCUAGAUUAGGAUGAAAGACAAAAUGCAUGAAAAAUGAGCUUGUUAGAAUCAAAAAUUUGUUCAAGCACCUUUAUGCAAAUUAAAUGGAUAUUAAAUAUUUGCAUGCAGUAAUUUCUACUUUUUAGUUUGAUUGAAAAGAAUACUGCAUUGAAACUCACAAAUGUGUCUUUUUUCUUUUGUACUAAUCAACAAACAAGGCAGAAUCUCUUUUUAAAAAAUUAGAUUAGCCACCUGGGUUCUUACAUCUCUGCUAAGUAUGCUACAAUGUUUUUUUCUUAUAACAAUGGCACUCUUAGGGACAACUUGGUUUAUCUAAUUUUUUCGUAAUAAACUAUCUCAUGUGAAUUAAGAUUAUUUUAGAUGAAUAUAAAUCUGUUUCUUCGGAAAGCAUUUCAAAAGUAACCUUAUCCUGUUGUCCUUGAAGUUGGUUAAUGUACAUUAAUAAAAGAUCACUCCAGAUAAGUUCACACCCAAAGCACAGGCUUCUCAUUGACUGGUUAAAUAACAAUGCAUUAAAGUAGAGUAGAGUGAUAUACCUGAAAUGAAAGAGACAGUUACGUCUCUUCAAAAUUUCAGAUGCUUUUGGAUACACUGUUUUUUUUUCUAUUGAAUUGUUUACAUACUAAUCUGAAUUUAGAAGAGUCUGAUAAAACAGAGUGAUUGAGAGAGGUUUCUGAGUCUUGGUUUAGCAGUGUCUAAUGUGGUCACGUAGAGAAAUUGAUUUUCUUCAGAAAUUAAUUAAUUUUUCAUAUCGCCCUAAGCUGCAGUUAAAAAGAGUGCAUACUUGUCUGUUUUUUCCAGAAAUAUUGCCUAAUCAUAUUAAUACCAUUGCCCCAAGGAUGAAAAGAUAAUUGUACAAAUGCAUUUGGAAAUAUGUAUCACUGAGUAUUUAUGAUUAAAUUAUGCAAAUGACCCAGCUCUCAUCCUUUCCAGACCCAGAUUGUCUAAUUAGGAUUGAUAUGCUGAAUAGAUGUUCCAGAAUUUGAAUACAAGCAUGUCCAAGGAGCAGAAAAUUGGAAAUGACAAGGUUGAAAUCCAAAGAAAAGUGUCUUUUGAUUUUAUAUUUUGUUAAUGUGCUGUUAGCAGUUGAGAAUAUUUCAUUCCCUUUGGCUGUUUGUGACUCAUAUGUCCUUAUUAGAAACAAGUAUGCAAGAAGAAUUGAACUCUAGCAAAUAUCAUUUCAUUUCUAUUGGAUGCUUAUUUAAAAUAAUAACCCCUGGUCAUCCAAACAGAACAUCACUAUCUAGUUGUUUCAAAUAUAAACUUAGCUUUCAUUGAGUGACUUUAAAGAGUCAAAACUUCUUUGAGUUAAUGACAUCGUUUAUUCCUAAACUAACUUUGCAAACUUAGUAAUGUAUCAAUGCACUGUUUUCUACACAUGCUUUCUCGAGUCUACCAUUCAUUCUUUUACUUAUUCUUUCA